AGGGUGCGAGCGUUAUCCGGAAUUAUUGGGCGUAAAGAGCUCGUAGGCGGUUUGUCGCGUCUGUCGUGAAAGUCCGGGGCUUAACCCCGGAUCUGCGGUGGGUACGGGCAGACUAGAGUGCAGUAGGGGAGACUGGAAUUCCUGGUGUAGCGGUGGAAUGCGCAGAUAUCAGGAGGAACACCGAUGGCGAAGGCAGGUCUCUGGGCCGUAACUGACGCUGAGGAGCGAAAGCAUGGGGAGCGAACAGGAUUAGAUACCCUGGUAGUCCAUGCCGUAAACGUUGGGCACUAGGUGUGGGGACCAUUCCACGGUUUCCGCGCCGCAGCUAACGCAUUAAGUGCCCCGCCUGGGGAGUACGGCCGCAAGGCUAAAACUCAAAGGAAUUGACGGGGGCCCGCACAAGCGGCGGAGCAUGCGGAUUAAUUCGAUGCAACGCGAAGAACCUUACCAAGGCUUGACAUGUUCUCGAUCGCCGUAGAGAUACGGUUUCCCCUUUGGGGCGGGAUCACAGGUGGUGCAUGGUUGUCGUCAGCUCGUGUCGUGAGAUGU
This 549-nucleotide ribosomal RNA is filed under the name uncultured bacterium. Its description in RNAcentral is "bacterial SSU rRNA". It matches the Rfam family "Bacterial small subunit ribosomal RNA", at positions 529 to 1075 of the family's 1533-position model. The record is from RNAcentral.